AAGAAACGUUACGAGCGAAUAACUCGUGAUAAUGACGGUACCUUGAUAAGCAAGCACCGNCUAACUACGUGCCAGCAGCCGCGGUAAUACGUAGGGUGCGAGCGUUAAUCGGAAUUACUGGGCGUAAAGCGUGCGCAGGCGGUUUUGUAAGUCAGAUGUGAAAUCCCCGAGCUCAACUUGGGAACUGCGUUUGAAACUACAAGGCUAGAGUAUGGUAGAGGGGGGUAGAAUUCCACGUGUAGCAGUGAAAUGCGU
This 255-nucleotide ribosomal RNA is filed under the name beta proteobacterium wo56. Its description in RNAcentral is "partial 16S ribosomal RNA". It matches the Rfam family "Bacterial small subunit ribosomal RNA", at positions 440 to 691 of the family's 1533-position model. Lineage: Bacteria; Pseudomonadati; Pseudomonadota; Betaproteobacteria. The record is from RNAcentral.